Molecule: long non-coding RNA, 883 nt
Organism: Spodoptera frugiperda (fall armyworm)
Lineage: Eukaryota; Metazoa; Arthropoda; Insecta; Lepidoptera; Noctuidae
Exons: 4
Source: RefSeq, a predicted model, not a curated record
AAUCAGGGUCCUUAGACAAUGUAACAUCGCUUGGUAGCGAAACGAUAUCUAAAAUCGUCAUCGUCUCAACGAUAACGACAAACAUUUCUUAGCCAAAGUAACAUCGCGAUCGUUAUCGUUGUGUCGAAUCGAUUAUUCGCUAAAAAGCAAAAAUAUUGUUUAUGGUAACGAAAAUUUAGCUGUCAGUGUCACUCAAGAAGUUCAAAUCGGAUUAUUCCCGCGAGUUAUUACUGUUUUCGAAUUUUACUGAUAAGAAUAAGUGAGUUGUUGGCGAUCGCCGUACUUCGUGAGGGUGAUGUUAUCACAGUCAGCGACGUUGGAGUGCUGGGUGACGUCACGGGAUCGGCACGCUGCCGGUGGUUACCGCGCCGAUGGGCUUCAAGUGGUUGUGCUGCAAUGUCCUUAGCCCAGACGUAAAUAUCCGAAAACUGCUGGGCUCAAGUGCUUCCCAAGAGAAAUAUGACUUUAUUAGUUCAAUUUCGAACUAGCCCUCGCAUAAGACAGUCCACGUUAUUUCUAUGAUAGUGAUGAAACAUGGAAUCAAGAGUGCGAACAAGUUCCCAACAAUUGUCAAUGCUGCUUGAGGAUACGGCAAAUCAUGGUGACCCGGCGAGGCCUCUUGCUGCAUCACUAGGUUGGGUACGGUCAGACCGACUGUGGACUGAACAGACAAACAUAUUGAAUGCUGUUGGUGGUGGUGGCAGCAAGACUACAGACAAGUGAUAAAAAGCGUGGUCCGCGGUUGAGAUCGCCAGCGACACCGCAGUCUGCUGUUUCUCCCGACCGCCCUCGUUUGAGCGACCCCCUUCGAGACAGCGGCAAGCGAGUAGCUAAAAAGCUAAGAGCACACAGCACCUGAAAAUUAUAAUAAUACAGAUUUAGA